GACGAACGCUGGCGGCGUGCUUAACACAUGCAAGUCGAGCGAUGAAGUUCCUUCGGGAAUGGAUUAGCGGCGGACGGGUGAGUAACACGUGGGUAACCUGCCUCAUAGAGGGGAAUAGCCUUUCGAAAGGAAGAUUAAUACCGCAUAGGAUUGUAGUGCCGCAUGGUACAGCAAUUAAAGGAGUAAUCCGCUAUGAGAUGGACCCGCGUCGCAUUAGCUAGUUGGUGAGGUAACGGCUCACCAAGGCGACGAUGCGUAGCCGACCUGAGAGGGUGAUCGGCCACAUUGGGACUGAGACACGGCCCAGACUCCUACGGGAGGCAGCAGUGGGGAAUAUUGCACAAUGGGGGAAACCCUGAUGCAGCAACGCCGCGUGAGUGAUGACGGUCUUCGGAUUGUAAAGCUCUGUCUUCAGGGACGAUAAUGACGGUACCUGAGGAGGAAGCCACGGCUAACUACGUGCCAGCCGCCGCCGUAA
Molecule: ribosomal RNA, 478 nt
Filed under: uncultured bacterium
Lineage: Bacteria
Description: partial 16S ribosomal RNA
Rfam family: Bacterial small subunit ribosomal RNA
Source: RNAcentral